Molecule: ribosomal RNA, 486 nt
Filed under: uncultured bacterium
Lineage: Bacteria
Description: bacterial SSU rRNA
Rfam family: Bacterial small subunit ribosomal RNA
Source: RNAcentral
AUUGAACGCUGGCGGCAUGCCUUACACAUGCAAGUCGAGCGGCAGCAUGGGUGCUUGCACCUGAUGGCGAGUGGCGAACGGGUGAGUAAUGCAUCGGAACGUACCCGGAAGUGGGGGAUAACGUAGCGAAAGUUACGCUAAUACCGCAUAUUCUGUGAGCAGGAAAGCGGGGGAUCGCAAGACCUCGCGCUUCCGGAGCGGCCGAUGUCGGAUUAGCUAGUUGGCGGGGUAAAGGCCCACCAAGGCAACGAUCCGUAGCGGGUCUGAGAGGAUGAUCCGCCACACUGGGACUGAGACACGGCCCAGACUCCUACGGGAGGCAGCAGUGGGGAAUUUUGGACAAUGGGCGCAAGCCUGAUCCAGCCAUGCCGCGUGAGUGAAGAAGGCCUUCGGGUUGUAAAGCUCUUUCGGCUGGGAAGAAAUCGCAUCUCCUAAUACGGGGUGUGGAUGACGGUACCAGCAUAAGAAGCACCGGCUAACUACGUG